This 484-nucleotide ribosomal RNA is filed under the name uncultured bacterium. Its description in RNAcentral is "partial 16S ribosomal RNA". It matches the Rfam family "Bacterial small subunit ribosomal RNA", at positions 30 to 507 of the family's 1533-position model. The record is from RNAcentral.
AUUGAACGCUGGCGGCAGGCCUAACACAUGCAAGUCGAGCGGAUGAAGGGAGCUCGCUCCUGGAUUCAGCGGCGGACGGGUGAGUAAUGCCUAGGAAUCUGACUGGUAGUGGGGGAUAACGUCCGUACACGGGCGCUAAUACCGCAUACGUCCUGAGGGGGAAAGUGGUGGAUCUUCGGACCUCACGCUAUCAGAUAAGCCUAGGUCGGAUUAGCUAGUUGGUGGGGUAAAGGCCUACCAAGGCGACGAUACGUAACUGGUCUGAGAGGAUGAUCAGUCACACUGGAACUGAGACACGGUCCAGACUCCUACGGGAGGCAGCAGUGGGGAAUAUUGGACAAUGGGCGAAAGCCUGAUCCAGCCAUGCCGCGUGUGUGAAGAAGGUCUUCGGAUUGUAAAGCACUUUAAGUUGGGAGGAAGGGCAGUAAGUUAAUACCUUGCUGUUUUGACGUUACCAACAGAAUAAGCACCGGCUAACUUCGUG